This 770-nucleotide ribosomal RNA is filed under the name Niastella sp. Its description in RNAcentral is "bacterial SSU rRNA". It matches the Rfam family "Bacterial small subunit ribosomal RNA", at positions 101 to 873 of the family's 1533-position model. The record is from RNAcentral. Lineage: Bacteria; Pseudomonadati; Bacteroidota; Chitinophagia; Chitinophagales; Chitinophagaceae.
AACGGGUGCGGAACACGUACGCAACCUUCCUUCAAGCGGGGGAUAGCUUUCGGAAACGAAAAUUAAUACCCCAUAGUACUACGAGAUGGCAUCUGAUUGUAGUUAAAGAUUUAUCACUUGAAGAUGGGCGUGCGGCUGAUUAGGUAGUUGGCGGGGUAACGGCCCACCAAGCCAACGAUCAGUAACUGGUGUGAGAGCACGACCAGUCACACGGGCACUGAGACACGGGCCCGACUCCUACGGGAGGCAGCAGUAAGGAAUAUUGGUCAAUGGACGCAAGUCUGAACCAGCCAUGCCGCGUGGAGGAUGAAGGCCCUCUGGGUUGUAAACUUCUUUUUUCGACGAAGAAACCCCUGAUUUAUAUUAGGGUUGACGGUACUCGAAGAAUAAGCACCGGCUAACUCCGUGCCAGCAGCCGCGGUAAUACGGAGGGUGCAAGCGUUAUCCGGAUUCACUGGGUUUAAAGGGUGCGUAGGUGGGUUGGUAAGUCAGUGGUGAAAUCUCCAAGCUUAACUUGGAAACUGCCGUUGAUACUAUCAAUCUUGAAUAUCGUUGAGGUAAGCGGAAUAUGUCAUGUAGCGGUGAAAUGCUUAGAUAUGACAUAGAACACCGAUAGCGAAGGCAGCUUACUAAGCGAUUAUUGACACUGAGGCACGAAAGCGUGGGGAUCAAACAGGAUUAGAUACCCUGGUAGUCCACGCCCUAAACGAUGGAUACUCGACAUACGCGAUACACAGUGUGUGUCUGAGCGAAAGCAUUAAGUUCCCACC